This is a long non-coding RNA of Cervus elaphus (red deer), 460 nucleotides long. RefSeq lists it as uncharacterized. NCBI's taxonomy places the organism in Eukaryota, Metazoa, Chordata, Mammalia, Artiodactyla, Cervidae. The transcript is spliced from 3 exons. The record is from RefSeq and is a predicted model, not a curated record.
GGGUGUACAUAUCUGAGCAGGAACCGCCACCGCUGUCUCUGCCUGGGUCACUGUUUCCGAGCCUGUGGUGUAGACAUAAGCAUAUUUGUGCGUGGGGCUGGGAGAAUCAGGGUGUCUGAGAGGGGCAUGUCUGGGAUGCCUGGUGUGGUGUGUCAGUGUGAAUAGUGCUCCCACUGUGCAUCUCUGUCCCAGUGUCAAGUGUGAGUUUCUGGGACCGUCUAGAUGUGUGUGAACAUGUACAGGUAUAACUCAGAGAUAUUGUGGACUCGGUUCCAAAUCACCAUAAUAGAGUGAAUAUCACUAUAAAAAUCACAGGAGAACAUUACCUUUCCUGAAGCCAAAGUCAGACAAAUUCGUGGCAAUUUUACCAAUGUUCUGCCCAAAGCUGCUCAAAAGUAGACCUCCGUUCCUCAGGCCACGUUAGCUGGGUGUCCACGCCUGGGUCUUUGUCUCUGUCUGU